ACUGGCGGGUGCUAUACUGCAAGUCGAACGUUAAGUGUAGCAAUACACUGAAAGUGGCGAACGGGUGAGUAACACGUAAGUAAUCUGCCUUUAAGAUUGGGAUAACCUUGCCAACGCGGGGCUAAUACCGGAUGUGGUCGGACGGACGCAUGUCUGUUUGAUUUAAGGAGUGAUCCGCUUAAAGAUGAACUUGCGGCCCAUUAGUUAGUUGGCGGGGUAACGGCCCACCAAGACAGCGAUGGGUAGCCGGCCUGAGAGGGUGUACGGCCACAUUGGGACUGAGAUACGGCCCAGACUCCUACGGGAGGCAGCAGUAGGGAAUUUUGCGCAAUGGACGAAAGUCUGACGCAGCAACGCCGCGUGAGGGAUGAAGGCCUUCGGGUUGUAAACCUCUGUUGGACAGGAAAAAAAGGUAGCAAUACUUUGAUGGUACUGUUUGAGGAAGCACCGGCUAACUACGUGCCAGCAGCCGCGGUAAUAUGUAGGGUGCAAGCGUUGUUCGGAAUCACUGGGCGUAAAGAGAGCGUAGGCGGGAUCGUAAGUUAGAAGUUUAAUACAUGGGCUUAACCCGUGGUCGGCUUUUAAUACUGCGGUUCUUGAGUAUGGGAGAGGGCGAUGGAAUUCCAGGUGUAGCGGUGGAAUGCGUAGAUAUCUGGAAGAACACCAGUAGCGAAGGCGGUCGCCUGGCCUAAUACUGACGCUGAGGCUCGAAAGCUAGGGGAGCAAACAGGAUUAGAUACCCUGGUAGUCCUAGCCGUAAACGAUGAACACUAGUUGCCGGAGGAGUCAAUCUUUUUGGUGACG
RNAcentral lists this ribosomal RNA (804 nucleotides) under uncultured bacterium. Its description in RNAcentral is "bacterial SSU rRNA". It matches the Rfam family "Bacterial small subunit ribosomal RNA", at positions 35 to 848 of the family's 1533-position model. The record is from RNAcentral.